UUUCAUUUUCUCAUGUAUGUACUUUUGGAAUAUUGUUUUUGUACAAAAUUAAAAGCAGUGAUGACAGAAAAUAUUGCGAAGGUGAACCAGCAAGGGGUGGCAGUGGUGGACGGCAGCACAAGCUUGCUUUAGGGGUCUGUUUCCCCUGGGAAGGUCUGAGAGAAGGGACUCAUUAUGCUCUUGAAGGGCAGCCUCCGAGAGGAGGGGCGGGACACCAGACAGCCCUAGGGAUCCUGGCCGGGGGCAGGUCUGUGACACCAUCUGCUGCUGGUGGAGGCAGCCCCUGGCUUUGGUUGGGAAGUUCCUGUGUCCAGCUUAGUUGAGUGUGAUAAGCAAGGUGGCUUUUGGGCCAUAACUCAAUUCAGACUACUCUGUGCAGCUGAGCCUCACUGCCAUCACUGCUGGGCGUUGCAUCACAUGUGCAAUGAUUAUGAGAGCUGAGGGGUUAGUUUUUUGGACUCCCUGCAAUGUGAAUUUGUAUCACUAAAGCGGGCUUCCCCUCACAGGUUCAACAACUGGAUGCGAGCAAGGGGUGUUGAUUAAGGCACAGCUGACACGAGUCUGCAAUUUUCAUAUUUCAGGCUGCAGCUCACAUCUUGCUUGAGAAUAACAAGCAGCAGCAGCUGUAUAGGUGCUUUACAAUAGUCAUUCUAAUUAAUCAUGAGUAAUUGUAUGAGUUAUUCUACUCCAGGGUUACACUGUUUAGCUUUAUAGCCUAUACAUGUUUCAUUGUUCAAUAAACUGCAAUAACUUUU
Long non-coding RNA from Eriocheir sinensis (Chinese mitten crab), 755 nucleotides. RefSeq lists it as uncharacterized. The transcript is spliced from 2 exons. The record is from RefSeq and is a predicted model, not a curated record. Lineage: Eukaryota; Metazoa; Arthropoda; Malacostraca; Decapoda; Varunidae.